RNAcentral lists this ribosomal RNA (253 nucleotides) under uncultured bacterium. RNAcentral describes it as "partial 16S ribosomal RNA". It matches the Rfam family "Bacterial small subunit ribosomal RNA", at positions 524 to 776 of the family's 1533-position model. The record is from RNAcentral.
UACGAAGGGGGCUAGCGUUGUUCGGAAUUACUGGGCGUAAAGCGCACGUAGGCGGAUCGAUCAGUCAGGGGUGGAAUCCCAGGGCUCAACCCUGGAACUGCCUUUGAUACUGUCGAUCUGGAGUAUGGAAGAGGUGAGUGGAAUUCCGAGUGUAGAGGUGAAAUUCGUAGAUAUUCGGAGGAACACCAGUGGCGAAGGCGGCUCACUGGUCCAUUACUGACGCUGAGGUGCGAAAGCGUGGGGAGCAAACAGG